UUCUGUUAGAACAGCACAAACUACACGAGAGACCCCUGUCUCUCUCUCUCAAAACCCCUCUCUCUCCUGACUUCCCAACUUGUUUCUCAUUGCUCACCUCUCUCUUCUCUCUCUCUCUCUCUCUCUCCAAUUGCGACCUGUUUCGCAACCAUGUUGGAGAAUCCUUAACAUCACAACUUCCCAAAUCACCAGAUCGCCGGACUCCGCCAUGGACCUCCCGGCGGAGAUUCAACCUCCGGCCGCCGCCGCCGCCUCUUUCCUCCGCUAAAUGCAACCACUAACCACCCUUCAACCCCUCCAACAACAACGAUGACACCUCAGCCUUCACCCCAAAAUCCCCCCAACCCUUGAAAAAAAUCGAAUUUUUCACAUACAUUUUGCUCUAUAACACUCUCUCAUUCAUCAAUUGCCCGUGUUAUUGCAACAAUGGCAGCAACUAACACCGCAACCCAACCCGUGGAGUCCUCGUCGGCAGCUCCAUCUGCCGACGAGGUGGCCGCGAAGGCGGUGCAGAAGAGGUACGAAGGGUUGGUGAUGGUGCGGACCAAAGCGAUUAAGGGCAAAGGGGCUUGGUAUUGGGCACACCUGGAACCCAUAUUGGUUCAUAAUUCCGAUACGGGUUUGCCUAAAGCUGUGAAAUUGAGGUGUUCUCUUUGUGACGCUCUCUUCUCUGCUUCGAACCCAUCAAGGACUGCUUCAGAGCAUCUCAAGAGAGGGACUUGCCCGAAUUUCAAUUCCGCCCCAAAACCCAUUUCCUCUGUUUCUCCCACUUCGCUUCCUGGUCUCACUUCCCCUUCUUCUACUUCUCACCACCAUCCUAACCACCGCAAACGCUCUUCUUCCGGUGGUCGAGGCGGCGGAGCUUCUUCUUCUUCUUCUUACCAGGUUCCUCCGCUUGCUAUUGUUGAUCCGACCCGGUUUUCGGUGGAGCUUGCUUACCCGCCGGCGGUGUCGGUGGCUACUGUUGUUACGGCGAGUGCUGGCGGAAGCGGCGGCGGUUGUUUUUAUGGUCAGCAACAGCAUUUGAUGUUGUCAGGUGGGAAAGAAGAUUUGGGUGCUUUAGCUAUGUUGGAAGACAGUGUGAAGAAGCUGAAAAGUCCAAAAGCGUCGGCUGGACCAACUCUAAGCAAGACCCAGAUUGAUUCAGCACUUGAUUAUCUCGCUGAUUGGGUCUAUGAGUCUUGUGGGUCUGUCUCAUUUUCAAGUCUUGAGCACCCCAAAUUCAAAGCUUUUCUUAACCAGGUCGGAUUGCCGGCGGUUUCGCGGAGAGAUUUCAUCGGCGGUAGACUAGAUGCUAAGUAUGAGGAAGCAAAGGCAGAGUCAGAAGUAAGAAUUCGAGAUGCGAUGUUCUUUCAAAUUUCAUCUGAUGGAUGGAAACCCAAAAACUAUGGACAUGGUGGGGAAGAGAAUUUGGUGAAUUUAGCUGUGAAUCUUCCCAAUGGGACUAGUGUGUUUCGUAGAGCAGUGUUUACUAGUGGGUCUGUGCCUUCAAAAUAUGCAGAGGAGGUUUUAUGGGACACUAUCAGGGAUAUCUGUGGGAAUCUCGUUCAUCAAUGUGUAGGUAUAGUUUCAGACAAGUUUAAGGCCAAGGCAUUGAAGAGUUUAGAGAGUCAACAUCAUUGGAUGGUUAAUCUUUCUUGUCAGUUUCAAGGGUUCAAUAGUUUGAUUAAGGACUUGAGUAAAGAGCUUCCAUUGUUCAUGAAUGUGACUGAGAAUUGUUUAAAACUAGCAAAUUUUGUCAAUAACCAGUCUCAAAUUCGAAAUGCUUUCCAUAAGUAUCAGUUGCAAGAGUAUGGGCAAGCUGGGUUGUUAAGAGUACCCUUGCGUGACUACGACAAAUCAAACUUUGGACCUGUGCACACCAUGGUGGAGGACAUACUGAGCUGGGCUCGAGCACUUCAGUUGGUCUUGCUCGAUGAAUCGUUCAAGAUAGUGUCCAUGGAGGAACAAAUUGCUAGAGAGAUUGAGGAUAUGAUGAGGGAUCCCCAUUUUUGGAAUGAAUUGGAAGCGGUGCACUCAUUGGUUAAACUGAUCAAGGGAAUGGCUCAGGAAAUUGAGACAGAAAGGCCAUUGGUUGGGCAAUGCAUUCCUCUAUGGGAUGAACUCAGAGCCAAAGUGAAGGAUUGGAGUUCUAGAUUCCACAUUGCUGAAGGACCUGUAGAGAAGGUGAUUGAUAGACGAUUCAGAAAGAACUAUCAUGCAGCAUGGGCUGCUGCAUUUAUUCUCGAUCCAUUUUAUCUAAUUAGGGACGCCAGUGGGAAGUACCUACCGCCCUUCAAAUGCUUGACACCUGAGCAAGAAAAGGAUGUGGACAAGCUCAUAACCCGGCUUGUGUCAAGGGAGGAGGCUCAUAUUGCUUUAAUGGAGCUUAUGAAAUGGAGAACUGAAGGGCUCGAUCCGGUAUAUGCACAAGCUGUGCAGUUGAAGCAGAGAGACCCCAUUACAGGAAAGAUGAAAAUUGCCAAUCCCCAAAGCAGUAGGCUUGUGUGGGAAACUUACCUUACUCAAUUCAAGUCAUUGGGGAAAGUUGCAGUGAGGCUCAUCUUCCUUCAUGCAACUUCAUGUGGGUUCAAAAGCAAUUGGUCUUUCUUGAGAUGGGUUAGUGCCCACGGGCACUCUAGGGUAAGCGUGGACAGGGCUCAGAAAUUGAUAUUUAUUGCUGCUCAUUCGAAGCUUGAGAGGCGGGAUUUUUCUACUGAUGAAGAAAAAGAUGCAGAGCUGUUCGCCUUGGCAAACGAUUUCUAUGAGGUUUGCGCAUUUGUCAGUUGUGUAGAACUGAUUUGCCUCUCCUGCGGAUCUCUUCUUUCAAGACUUUCAGUUUGCUUCAAGACCCUAAUUACAUAUUCUGUGCAUUAUUUGAGUUUUUCAACAUUAAAGUUAUUGUUGGAACCAUGCUUUAAUCCUAUACAUAUCACUCUUCACCUUCUGAAAGUACAAGGAAAAAACUCUGCACUGAGAUUGUAUUGCUUUGUUGAAGACCAUGUUUAGUUAAUAAGGUAUUAGCCUCUCAUCAUUGUAAAUUCACUGUUGUUCAUUAAGAGUGCUAUUUUCUGUUCUUUUUUCGUUUUUUGAGGGACAUUAAGAGUGCUAUUUAAUUUGUAAGUUCAUGUGAUAAUUGGCUACUGUUCUUGAGUUUUAUUUUUUUUCAUGUAAUCGUUUCUUCCUUAGGAGCUUGAUAAAAUGUCUGCGCGCGAUUCAAUGUGUCCAGUUUUUGUUUGUAUGUGUUAUUGGAUCCAAUGCAGAAUGAUUGUUGAUCUUUGUUCUUUUUGGUAUGAAAACUUUUGCACUAUCAUCUGUUCCUUUAUCUGCUCAAAAGAGGUCUAAUUUCUAGCUAAAUUGUGAUGGAGUUUGAAGUCUAGAAUCAGUACACCCAAAAUCAGCAACGGGAGAGCACAAACCUUACCAACCAUGUCUAGUGACGAUCUGAGUCAAAUUUUGCAUGGACUUCAGGUUUAGGUUCAGUUAUGGAGCUUAAUAUCACUACUAGCAUAUUCCAAAACUAGAAGCAUUUGACAAAGAUAUUAGAUUGGAGAGGCCUCCCUAAAGAUGCUUGGUUUGUUCAGUAAUAGAAAUUGUUAGAUCACGACUGAAGAGGAUUUUGCAAGAAAUGUCCAAGAACCAACUUGAUUUGUAAUUUUUGCUGUCAAGUUUCUUUUGGAAAGAGGCCAAGCUAGAGGUUGCGAUGCUCCAACUCAUUUCAUUGAUAGUGAGCAAAAGGAUUUGCAACAUGGGUCAACAACCUCGGAAGGACCCAAGAGCAUAUAUCCUUCUAGCCGGGGAAGCACUUGUUGUCACUGUUGUUAUCUCAUCCCUAUCUUGUGGUUUAUGUGUCUUUUAAAGGGAGUGGUGCCCCACCAUGAAAGAAGUGGAAGUCUAUUUCCAAGUUUUGGUUGUUAUGGAGAGGAGAGAUAAAAAGGGCCCUUAAUUUAAAUCAUCUUUGGGUAACUUCUCUUUAAAACAUUCCAAAACUCGUAUCGUUCAUGCAGACUCAUUGGAUGAUGCUCCACAUGAUUGCAAAAUAAAGGGUUUUGAGAGGACCCAAAGUAGAGGAAGACUGUUGGCAUGAAGCAACACAGAAGAUGCUUUGAUAACGAUUCGCCAACGAAGUUGAAUGGAUAUUGCUGGUUACAGAUAGCUUUGAGACUUGGAAGAACCAAAACUAGCAAGCAAGCAAGCAAUGGUGGAAGAGAGGAGGUUCUUUUACUUGUUUCCAUAUUUGAUCCAUGAAUUAUUCACCGUUAAUAUAUUUAUUAUACCACAGAUAAAUGUUGUAAAGCUUAUUGGUUUGUAUUUGAUUUUUGAUUUUUGAUUCUCUGUCAAAAUCUAUUCCUCUAUGUUAUGAAUAAAAAGUCUUUUUACUUUUAUUGCCUAUAUGAUUUUGCAGGGGAAAAAAAAAAGUGUAAAUAUAUCUGUUGUCCUGUUUAGACUCCUGUAAGAACUAGCCAUUCAAAACAUUACAAAAAAAAUUUAGUUUGAUGUUUCUCGA
Non-coding RNA from Camellia sinensis, 4486 nucleotides. Lineage: Eukaryota; Viridiplantae; Streptophyta; Magnoliopsida; Ericales; Theaceae. The record is from RefSeq and is a predicted model, not a curated record.